RNAcentral lists this transfer RNA (86 nucleotides) under Anaerolineaceae bacterium. RNAcentral's name for it is "tRNA-Tyr". It matches the Rfam family "tRNA". From Rfam's summary of the family: Transfer RNA (tRNA) molecules are approximately 80 nucleotides in length. Their secondary structure includes four short double-helical elements and three loops (D, anti-codon, and T loops). Lineage: Bacteria; Bacillati; Chloroflexota; Anaerolineae; Anaerolineales; Anaerolineaceae. The record is from RNAcentral. RNAcentral also lists the same sequence under 1 other name.
GGGCAGGUACCCAAGUGGCCAAAGGGGGCUGACUGUAAAUCAGCUGGCGUAUGCCUACGGGGGUUCGAAUCCCUCCCUGCCCACCU